CGGCGCACGCGCCCUCGGCCCCUGCUGCUCUUAGGGCCGCUGUCUGCCUGGUGUUUUCACUUCCUUCUCUUCAGAGCUGUAUCCGGGUCGUUGUUUUCCCUAUUGUUUUAGGCAACCGGCCUCGGAUUGUGUAAAUUCUGAGUCUUUUGUUGCUUUUGUUGCAGGCUAAUAAAGUUUUUCUUUCGUUUAUUUUUUUUCUAAGAGUUUAAACAGGGGAAGUUAACUCCCCAGGGCUGCCGGGUUAGCCGCGCUGCCUGGGCCGGAGGGCGCCUUUGGCCGGGGAAGCGCCAAAGGAAGCCGCGCUAGCGGCCGGGGUCCGUUCUGCGAGGACCAGGGGCCGGGGGGCGGGAGGGGAACCGCGGGGCUGCACCUGGGGCGCCCCGGUCUGGUCCGCGGCGCCGCCUAUUUUUAAUAGCAUCUUUUGGACUCGUUUACCUUGGUCUCAGUCCUCGACCUCGGCGCUGCCUGGGCUCUCGCAGCCUCUCCCUAGGUCUACUCCAAACGACCACCUCGGAUUCCUUAUGGAUCGCAGCUCCAAGAGGAGGCAGGUGAAGCCUUUGGCAGCUUCUCUGCUAGAAGCUCUCGAUUAUGAUAGUUCAGAUGACAGUGAUUUUAAAGUUGGAGAUGCUUCAGAUUCUGAAGGGAGUGGUAAUGGAAGUGAAGAUCCUUCAAAGGACAGUGGAGAAGGUUCCUGUAGUGAUUCUGAAGAAAAUAUUUUAGAGGAAGAACUGAAUGAAGAUAUUAAAGUAAAAGAAGAACAACUUAAAAUUUCUGCAGAGGAAGAAAUACUAUCAUCAGAAAAACAGUUAAUUAAAGUGGAAAAGAAGGAGGAAGAAGAGAAUGGAGAGAGACCUAGAAAGAAAAAGGAAAAAGAGAAGGAGAAAGAAAAAGAUAAAGAGAAGGAGAGAGAGAAGGAUAAAGAAAAAGCAACAACAUCUGAUAACGUGGCUGCUUCUGCUGCUUCCACCACACCAGCCACAAGUCCUCCUGCUGCUAACACAUCUCCUUCAGUCCCCACGACAACAACUACAGAGGAGCAAGUCAGUGAGCCAAAAAAGUGGAACCUGCGUCGCAACCGACCACUUUUGGAUUUUGUAUCCAUGGAAGAGCUGAAUGACAUGGAUGACUAUGAUAGUGAAGAUGACAAUGAUUGGCGACCCACUGUAGUAAAAAGAAAGGGAAGAUCUGCAUCUCAGAAGGAAGGAAGUGACGGAGACAAUGAGGAUGAUGAAGAUGAGGGAAGUGGGAGUGAUGAGGAUGAGAAUGAUGAAGGCAAUGAUGAAGAUCAUAGCAGCCCUGCCAGUGAAGGGGGUUGCAAGAAGAAGAAGAGUAAAGUUCUUAGCAGAAACAGUGCUGAUGAUGAGGAACUGACCAAUGAUAGCCUGACACUAUCUCAGAGCAAGAGUAAUGAGGACUCGCUGAUUCUUGAGAAGAGUCAAAACUGGAGUUCUCAAAAAAUGGACCAUAUUCUGAUUUGCUGUGUUUGUCUUGGAGAUAAUAGUGAGGAUGCUGAUGAAAUAAUUCAGUGUGACAAUUGUGGCAUUACAGUCCAUGAAGGUUGUUAUGGAGUUGAUGGAGAGAGUGACUCUAUUAUGAGUUCAGCUUCUGAAAACUCCACUGAACCUUGGUUUUGCGAUGCCUGUAAAUGUGGUGUUUCCCCUAGCUGUGAACUAUGUCCCAAUCAGGAUGGAAUUUUCAAGGAGACAGAUGCUGGAAGAUGGGUUCAUAUUGUCUGUGCCCUGUAUGUUCCUGGUGUAGCCUUUGGAGAUAUUGACAAAUUGCGACCAGUAACGCUAACAGAAAUGAACUAUUCCAAAUAUGGUGCCAAGGAGUGUAGCUUCUGUGAAGAUCCUCGUUUUGCUAGAACUGGAGUUUGCAUUAGCUGUGAUGCAGGGAUGUGCAGAGCCUAUUUCCAUGUGACCUGCGCUCAGAAGGAAGGUCUGCUUUCAGAGGCAGCAGCAGAGGAGGAUAUAGCAGAUCCAUUUUUUGCUUAUUGUAAGCAACAUGCAGAUAGGUUAGACAGAAAGUGGAAGAGAAAAAACUACUUGGCUCUACAAUCCUAUUGUAAAAUGUCUUUACAAGAGAGAGAGAAGCAACUAUCACCAGAAGCACAGGCAAGGAUCAAUGCCCGGCUUCAGCAAUAUCGUGCCAAAGCAGAACUAGCUCGAUCCACCAGACCCCAGGCCUGGGUUCCAAGGGAAAAAUUGCCCAGACCACUCACUAGCAGUGCUUCGGCCAUUCGUAAACUUAUGCGGAAAGCAGAACUGAUGGGGAUCAGUACAGAUAUCUUCCCAGUGGACAAUUCAGAUACUAGUUCUAGUGUGGAUGGAAGGAGAAAACAUAAGCAGCCUGCUCUCACUGCUGAUUUUGUGAAUUAUUAUUUUGAGAGAAAUAUGCGCAUGAUUCAAAUUCAAGAAAAUAUGGCUGAACAAAAGAAUAUAAAGGAUAAAUUAGAGAAUGAACAAGAAAAGCUUCAUGUGGAAUAUAAUAAGCUGUGUGAAUCUUUAGAAGAACUACAAAACCUGAAUGGAAAACUUCGAAGUGAAGGACAAGGAAUAUGGGCCUUACUAGGCAGAAUCACAGGGCAGAAGUUGAACAUACCGGCAAUUUUGCGAGCACCCAAGGAGAGAAAACCAAGUAAAAAAGAAGGAGGCACACAAAAGACAUCUACUCUUCCUGCAGUACUUUAUAGUUGUGGAAUUUGUAAGAAGAACCAUGAUCAGCAUCUUCUUUUAUUGUGUGAUACCUGUAAACUCCAUUACCAUCUUGGAUGUCUGGACCCUCCUCUUACAAGGAUGCCAAGAAAGACCAAAAACAGUUAUUGGCAGUGUUCAGAAUGUGACCAGGCAGGGAGCAGUGACAUGGAAGCAGACAUGGCCAUGGAAACCUUACCAGAUGGGACCAAACGAUCAAGGAGGCAGAUUAAGGAACCAGUGAAAUUUGUUCCACAGGAUAUGCCUCCAGAACCCAAGAAGAUUCCAAUAAGAAACACGAGAACCAGAGGACGAAAACGAAGCUUCAUUCCUGAGGAAGAAAAACAUGAGGUUGGAAUAAGAGAGAGUUCCUAGAGAGAGGAGACAAAGGCAGUCUGUGUUACAAAAGAAGCCCAAGGCUGAGGAUUUACGAACUGAAUGUGCAACUUGCAAGGGAACUGGAGACAAUGAAAACCUUGUCAGAUACCCUUCAUGAGACCCAACUCUGCCACAGCUCAUCCUCGGAGGCAAUCCUGGAAACCUCUUUUAUAAGUGUGAUUUUAAAAAUGUGGAUAACACUCUCAAUAGAGUAUAUAAAGUAAAGGAGAACAGCUAUCUUGUCUUUCCCAUAAGCUUAUCACUGCAAAAAGUUGCCUUUGCUUGUCAGGUUUGGAUAGAAUGUAAUUGAUUGGUUUGUUACUUGGACUGACAAGGCAGUUAAUUUGCCUGUGUGGAUUUUUUUCUCCUUUUUUUCUUUUGCACUAAUCAGAAACAUUUGAUAUGUGCAUUGUUGAAAAAUACUAGAUGAUGUCUUGUCAGAAUUGUCCUAUUAAGUAAUGUCUUCCCCUCUUGCUUCUUUGGCAAAUGAUAGACAGUAUUUGGACUUACUUAAGAGUUACUGAAGCCUGUGGGACUUACAUGCAAUGUGCUACUUGUUGUUGAACAAAUCUAGUAACAAACAAGAAAGAUAAUGCAUUCCAUUAGUCUGCUAUUCUGUUUCAUCCAACUUAAUACAUAUAUUCAUAUAUGAAAUACUGCAUUGGGAAACAACUGUAGACUAUAUUAAAUGUUACUUCUAUUUAUAAUAUUCAGCAAAAGUGAAAGACUUGUGAAAGCGUAUGCCAUUCUAGUUUUGACUCAUUAGUUCUAGUGUGAAAGCACUAAUAUUAGUAGCAUGCAGUUUUUGCAACUUCAGAUUUUAAGCUUGUAAAUAAGAAUAUAUCUGUGUUGAUCUCUAGAUAUUUUUUAGUAAUAACCAAAUAUAUUCACUCUUUAUUGAUUCAAUACAAACUUUCUCUGUUCAGUAUAAUUUUAUUUUUCUCAACCUUAAGUAUGAGGUUACAAAAUAAGGAGAGAGAUACAAAGCUUUUGACUAUACAGCCUGCCAACUGAAAGAUCUUCGUCAACAUUUGUAUCUUUCCAAAGGUUUACAGAAUUAAAAUUUGGUCUUCAAGCUUUAAUGAACAAGUCUUAAAUCAACGACAGAAAUAUGUUGAAUAUUUCAUCACUUCAUCUUGAACUGAUUUAGAAGAGACUGUUUGCUGAAAUUGAAAUACAUAUAUACAUGUAAAUUGUCAACAUGUCUCUUGGAAUUUCCUGAUUUAUAAAUGUGGUUUGGGACAUCUUUUCAGGUAUAGUGGCAUUGAAAAUAGUUCAAACAUUAGGAAUAGAGUAGGAAAUGUUAUAGAUAACUAAAAGCAAGUGUAAAUAUAAAGUUGCUGUAUGCUAGUAACCUUUAGUUAUACUAAGGAACCAUAUUAUUGGAUAUUUAAUAAAAGCAGUAUGUAUAUAAAAUAUGUAUAAACUGAGAUUAUUAACUUAUUGAAAGACCUAACAUUGGAGGAAAAAUAUUAAUAACCUGUAGCAAAACCAGUAGGCUUUUUUUUUUUAGAAAAAGAAUUCAUUAUUUAUCACUGCAUAAGCUUAAGAAAAAAUUGGUAGUUAUUACUAUUGCUGAACUGCAGCUGAUUUUAAGAAAAAUGUCAGAUUGCCAUUUCCUUAAAAAAGAAUAUGCUAGUGCAUUUGGACCUGACUCUCCUUUGAUAUAUGGUAAGAUAUUACUAGUGGUCAUUUUAUUUUAGAUUUUUUUGAAAAAUCAUUAAACCUUGUGGUUUUGGUGACACUAUUAAUCAAAGUCCUUUCCACCUGGUUCUAUUUAGAAUACCAUAUUAUCAUCAUUCUCCAUCUUACUGUUCGGUGGUGGAUAUGUGGUUCCAUAUUUGGUGCUAGCCCUAAGAAUCUUUGUCACACAUCACGAAUAUAAACCACAUAAUAUUCAUAAGAUCAUUGGUCCUGCAAAUGUGUAUUUGGAGUAGAACUUUUGAAGAGAGUAGAAUGAAACACUUUCUCCUAAUAAUCUCCUAGACACUCUCAUAUUUCCAUGGUACAAAAUUAACCCUUUUCUGUAAUUGGUCCAGUUGUUAUUCAGAGGAGAUAUUAAUGUGUAUAUCAAGAGAAUAUACACUAAAUAGUUCAUAUUUUACAUACAUGUAUAAGCGAAAGCAGUCCGACAGGUAAAUGAUGGUUAUUUGUCGCAUGAUAGGGAAAGAAAAAAAACACUGAAAUAUCAAGAAGUAAAAUAAAUAACUCUGAACUACAAGAAGAAUGACAUGGCAGUAUAUAUAGCAGUGGUUCUCAAACUUUAUAGUACAUCAGAAUCAAGGAUUUGUUUAAAAGCAGAUCGCUCACCUACUCCCCUCCUCAUUUUCCUCCUCAUUUUCCUCCCUCUUAUUUCUCCCUGCAGUUUCUGAUUAAGUGGGUCUGGGAUGAGGCCUGAAAAUCUGCAUUUCUAAAAGUUUCCAAGUGAUGCUGAAGCUGGCCAGGGACAUCCUUUGAGAACCAUUUGUGUAUAAUAUUUUGAAAAGAAUCAUGGUAUUGUGGUUGACAUUGAUUGAUUGAAUGUGGCUUUAAUCUUGUUAAAAGGGCCCUUAAAUUUUCAAAAAUACUUGUUUCUAGGUAAAAGAGAUUAUAGUAGUUUAUAGCACAUAGAGUAUAACUUCUUUAUUAUACAUAAGUUUAGUUAAACAGGUGUUUAUUUUAUACCUAUUUUGGACACAGUAAAUGAAAUUUAUUUAUCAUUUAUAUAUCAUUGUUAUUCGUGUUUCUUGAGUGUUUAUCUGAUUUUACAAUUAUAAUGUUAAAAAUAGAUCACUGACCAAUAAAUAAUAAGAAUAUUCACACUCAUUAUCCUAUUUCCCUGUUUUUACAUCCUGUUACUUACUAGAUCACUCUUUUUAAACUCUUAAUGUUUUUUAUUUGACAAAACUUACCACUGUUUUACUUGAUUCUCAGCAUGGGAAUAUUUUAUUAAUAUUUCAUCAAAAUCUAUUCAAGGAAUUCAGAAGGACUCUCUAGCAGAAUGGAAUACUAACAUUACUAAUUUUUCUUUAAACUUUCUGAAAUCAUUUUGACAAUUAAAACUUGUUUAAGAGACUCAGCUUUAGAGUUGCAUGGCAUAUGAAGGCAGAAAUUUUUUCCUACCCAGUCAACACUUUAUCAAUUUACAUAAUACUAAGGAUUGGAAUUAAAAAUAUUUCUGAGAUAGACAUGCUUUGCAAAUACUUUUUUUUUUUUUUAAAUAAACAUAUAGACCUCUUUCUCCCAGUACACAGUCUUAAGACUUUCUGCAGGCCUGCUGUAAGAUUCACUGCUGUUCAGGUACAUAGGAUAUAAUGAAACUGGAUGUUCAUGCUGGGCUUUGUGAAUAAAAUGAGACUGACCUCCAGCCAUUAUCUCAUUUAUCUGAUUUACAUUGUAAAAUCAAGAUCUACACUAUUGAUUAGAGAAUAAUUAGUUAAUUAUGAGCAGGGAAAUACAAAGUUAUGUGGGGCUUGAGCACAGCGGGUUGUACUGCUGAAAAAUUUCCAAGGGCAUGAGCAGAUGGAGAUCAGUUUAUUAAAGAACAAAGCAGAUGUGUUUCAGGUAUGAAAAUGUCUAAUCAUUCUCUCAUGCUGUGAAGAGGUACUUGACCUUAUUGUGUAUUUUUAUAUGAAUUCUUUUAUUUCAUGUUUUAGUUUUGCCUUUCACUUUUAAUCUUGUAACUUGACUACUGCAGAUGUAGCUAACUGAAUUGAUCCCAUUAUUUAAGUGAUCAUUAAACAUGAAUUUGGAUUUCAAUAAUUAUCCAAAUAUUUUUUCCAGUUAAUAUACUUUACAGAAUAUUUUUGUCUUUCCUACCACUCAUUCAUUCAUUAUUGCAUGUGAUGAGAGUCUAUAGUGACAUUAAUGAAAAUAUGUUCAAGACCUCCACAUUAGCCUUUAUUUGUGAAAUAUCAUAUAAAAGACAUUUUCUAAUUAUUUUGAAAAUGCUCAUAUAGGUGAUUUGCAGUGAAAGUGUUGUAAAAAGGAAUAAAGUUUGCCUUUAUUGAUAUUAAAUGUUAUUCUAAUAUUUGUAGAAUGCAGAAUUUUUUGCAAGCUUGUAUUUUAAAAGUGAUUUAACUCAUGGGCCACAAACCUGCAUUUUCUCCAUCUGUUAAAAGGAAUAAUUGAAUUGGCUACUGUUCAAUGAAAGAGUCUGUCACUACUGGUUAAUACAUUUGUGUAGGUGUUUCAGUUGCUAGUAAGAUUUUAUGUAAGUAAUAUUAAGACCAAUUCUUUUGGUCAUUCUUCUAUAGAAUUUUUGCAUAGAAAUGAUGAAAAAGUAAGAAAAUCCAACCCAUCUAUUCUCUUGAUAUUUAGUUGUGAGUUUUUUGUUUUUUUUAAUUAAAUGGAUGUAACAGUAUAUAUUUUCAAGGUUGGUUCUUUAUUUUACUGUAUAUAGACUUGGAAGGGACCUAAACCAAAUGUUCAUUGCCAUAAAAAAUAUCUGUGAUUAUGGAUCAACCUGGUCAUAAAACAUGUACAUUACUUUUCAAGUCCAUGUUACGGAUUUCUCUUCUUCAUGAAAUUUAGCUAAUCAUAUGGCUAUAAAUUAUAUAUAUAGGAGGUACACCUUUUUUUUGGUUAGUUUUGAAAAGUAGUUAUUUAGUGUACUCUUCUAGUGAAAUUAUCAAUUGGAAAUUAAGGGAAUUUAAGAAACCCUUUGGAACACUGGCCUGUCUCUUAGGUGUAGACAGAAAUAAAUAAGUUGUUUCUUUUUACUUGUGUGUAUAUUCUCAGUAAUCAGAUAAACACAUGACUGAUUGCUCCCAUGGAUCAUAGGACAUAGGAACAUAAAUCAUUUUCUUCCUCUUUUAUGUCUAGGGUGCUAUACUUAACCAUAUCUAAGUAAGUAUUUUAAAUACAUAUAGAACUAUGUUUAUUUGGUCACUGCAUUUUGUUAAAUGAAUGUGUAAAAGACCAUAUACAUAUAGCUGCUUUAUUAUUGAAAUCUGUAUCCAUUAUGAAUCUGAUGCCUAGGAAGUUGUAUUUAGUAAAAAUCUAAUUAAACAAUGAGGUUUCCUUUUCUUAUAAAUGGGAUUUAUCUUAUCUCACUUACAAUUGUAAUUUUAGAAUGUCCCAUAAUAUGUUAAUGUGUACAGUUUUAUUAGAUGUUUAGAGGAUAUUCUUUAAGCAUCCAGUUUGCAUUUUAUUAAAAAACAUAGUGUAUCUUUAUAGGUUAGUUUUAUAUUUUUUAAUUUAAGACAUUGUCUUCCUAUUUAAUAUAUGUGCUAUUGGUAUAAUAGUCCGUUUUUAUUACAUAGACAUUUGUGUUAUUUAAUAAAGUAUAUUGUGUUAUAUCACA
This is an RNA transcript of Globicephala melas (long-finned pilot whale), 8355 nucleotides long. It is a transcript of the gene named PHD finger protein 14, with no coding region annotated. The record is from RefSeq and is a predicted model, not a curated record. NCBI's taxonomy places the organism in Eukaryota, Metazoa, Chordata, Mammalia, Artiodactyla, Delphinidae.